Molecule: ribosomal RNA, 583 nt
Filed under: uncultured bacterium
Lineage: Bacteria
Description: partial 16S ribosomal RNA
Rfam family: Bacterial small subunit ribosomal RNA
Source: RNAcentral
UGGGGAAUAUUGCACAAUGGGCGCAAGCCUGAUGCAGCCAUGCCGCGUGUGUGAAGAAGGCCUUCGGGUUGUAAAGCACUUUCAGCGAGGAGGAAGGUGGUGAGCUUAAUACGCUCAUCAAUUGACGUUACUCGCAGAAGAAGCACCGGCUAACUCCGUGCCAGCAGCCGCGGUAAUACGGAGGGUGCAAGCGUUAAUCGGAAUUACUGGGCGUAAAGCGCACGCAGGCGGUUUGUUAAGUCAGAUGUGAAAUCCCCGGGCUCAACCUGGGAACUGCAUUUGAAACUGGCAAGCUAGAGUCUCGUAGAGGGGGGUAGAAUUCCAGGUGUAGCGGUGAAAUGCGUAGAGAUCUGGAGGAAUACCGGUGGCGAAGGCGGCCCCCUGGACGAAGACUGACGCUCAGGUGCGAAAGGCGUGGGGCAGCAAACAGGAUUAGAUACCCUGGUAGUCCACGCUGUAAACGAUGUCGAUUUUGGAGGUUGUGCCCUUGAGGCGUGGCUUCCGGAGCUAACGCGUUAAAUCGACCGCCUGGGGAGUACGGCCGCAAGGUUAAAACUCAAAUGAAUUGACGGGGUCAUAGCUG